This 465-nucleotide ribosomal RNA is filed under the name uncultured bacterium. Its description in RNAcentral is "partial 16S ribosomal RNA". It matches the Rfam family "Bacterial small subunit ribosomal RNA", at positions 28 to 507 of the family's 1533-position model. The record is from RNAcentral.
GAUGAACGCUGGCGGCGUGCUUAACACAUGCAAGUCGAACGAUGAGGCCCAGCUUGCUGGGUGGAUUAGUGGCGAACGGGUGAGUAACACGUGAGUAACCUGCCCUUGACUCUAGGAUAAGCCCGGGAAACUGGGUCUAAUACUGGAUAGGAACGUCUACCGCAUGGUGGGUGUUGGAAAGAAUUUCGGUCAUGGAUGGACUCGCGGCCUAUCAGCUUGUUGGUGAGGUAAUGGCUCACCAAGGCGACGACGGGUAGCCGGCCUGAGAGGGUGACCGGCCACACUGGGACUGAGACACGGCCCAGACUCCUACGGGAGGCAGCAGUGGGGAAUAUUGCACAAUGGGCGAAAGCCUGAUGCAGCGACGCCGCGUGAGGGAUGACGGCCUUCGGGUUGUAAACCUCUUUCAGUAGGGAAGAAGCGAAAGUGACGGUACCUGCAGAAGAAGCACCGGCUAACUACGUG